AGCAGCCGCCGCGGGAAAACGGAGGGUGCAAGCGUUAAUCGGAAUUACUGGGCGUAAAGCGCACGCAGGCGGUCUGACAAGUCAGAUGUGAAAUCCCCGGGCUUAACCUGGGAACUGCAUUUGAAACUGUCAGGCUGGAGUCUUGUAGAGGGGGGUGGAAUUCCAGGUGUAGCGGUGAAAUGCGUAGAGAUCUGGAGGAAUACCGGUGGCGAAGGCGGCCCCCUGGACAAAGACUGACGCUCAGGUGCGAAAGCGUGGGGAGCAAACAGGAUUAGAUACCCGAGUAGUCCCUGUCUCUUAUAC
Molecule: ribosomal RNA, 303 nt
Filed under: uncultured bacterium
Lineage: Bacteria
Description: partial 16S ribosomal RNA
Rfam family: Bacterial small subunit ribosomal RNA
Source: RNAcentral